CAGCAGCCACGGGAAUACGAAGGGGGCUAGCGUUGCUCGGAAUGACUGGGCGUAAAGGGCGCGUAGGCGGAUUGUUUAGUUAGGCGUGAAAUUCCUGGGCUUAACCUGGGGACUGCGCUUAAUACAGGCAGUCUAGAGUGAGGAAGAGGGUUGUGGAAUUCCCAGUGUAGAGGUGAAAUUCGUAGAUAUUGGGAAGAACACCGGUGGCGAAGGCAGCAACCUGGUCCUUGACUGACGCUGAGGCGCGAAAGCGUGGGGAGCAAACAGGAUUAGAUACCCCGGUAGUCCCUGUCUCUUAUAC
This 301-nucleotide ribosomal RNA is filed under the name uncultured bacterium. RNAcentral describes it as "partial 16S ribosomal RNA". It matches the Rfam family "Bacterial small subunit ribosomal RNA", at positions 509 to 807 of the family's 1533-position model. The record is from RNAcentral.